Molecule: ribosomal RNA, 253 nt
Filed under: uncultured bacterium
Lineage: Bacteria
Description: partial 16S ribosomal RNA
Rfam family: Bacterial small subunit ribosomal RNA
Source: RNAcentral
UACGUAGGGUGCAAGCGUUGUCCGGAAUUAUUGGGCGUAAAGGGCGCGUAGGCGGUAUGGCAAGUGGAAGGUGAAAUCCCUCGGCUUAACCGAGGAACUGCCCUCCAAACUGCUUUACUUGAGGCCGGGAGAGGUGAGUGGAAUUCCCAGUGUAGCGGUGGAAUGCGUAGAGAUCCGGAAGAACACCGGUGGCGAAGGCGGGUCUCUGGGCCGUUACUGACGCUGAGGAGCGAAAGCGUGGGGAGCGAACAGG